GGUCAAGCUACUUAGGGCGCGCGGUGGAUGCCUUGGUACCAGAGGCCGAUGAAGGACGUGGUAAGGCUGCGAUAAGCUCCGUCUAGCUGCCAAACAAGCUUAAGCGGAGAUUUCCGAAUGGGGUAACCCGGCUCGGCAAAACCGAGUCACUCCGGAUUGAACACAUAGAUCCGGUAGAGGGCACCGGGGGAACUGAAACAUCUAAGUACCCCGAGGAAAAGAGAGUAUUCCCCUAGUAGCGGCGAGCGAACGGGGAGAAGCCCAAACCGGUGCGCUACGGCGUGCCGGGGUUGUAGGGCCGGACAUUGUGCAGUUACAAAACGUACAUUUAGGAGAACGGCCCUGGAACGGCCGGCCAAAGAGGGUGAUAGCCCCGUAAACGAAAAGUGUGCGACUGCCGACCGGUACCUGAGUACCACGGGACACGUGAAACCCCGUGGGAAUCUGGGGAGACCACUUCCCAAGGCUAAAUACCUCUGGUGACCGAUAGUGAACAAGUACCGUGAGGGAAAGGUGAAAAGUACCCCGGGAGGGGAGUGAAAGAGAUCCUGAAACCGCGUGCCUACGUGCAGUCGGAGCCCGUUUCGACGGGUGACGGCGUGCCUAUUGAAGAAUGAGCCGGUGAGUUACUUUACGUGGCAAGGUUAAGCAAGGUGACUUGUGGAGCCGUAGCGAAAGCGAGUCCGAAUAGGGCGAUUGAG
Molecule: non-coding RNA, 701 nt
Filed under: bacterium SCGC AG-212-C10
Lineage: Bacteria
Description: Bacterial large subunit ribosomal RNA
Rfam family: Bacterial large subunit ribosomal RNA
Source: Rfam by way of RNAcentral